CAGUAGCCGCGGGAAUACGUAGGGCGCAAGCGUUAUCCGGAAUUACGGGCGUAAAGCGUGCGUAGGCGGUUUGUUAAGUCUGUUGUGAAAUCCCCGGGCUCAACCUGGGAAUGGCAAUGGAUACUGGCAAGCUAGAGUGUGUCAGAGGAUGGUGGAAUUCCCGGUGUAGCGGUGAAAUGCGUAGAGAUCGGGAGGAACAUCAGUGGCGAAGGCGGCUAUCUGGGACAACACUGACGCUGAGGCACGAAAGCGUGGGGAGCAAACAGGAUUAGAUACCCCCGUAGUCCCUGUCUCUUAUACA
This 301-nucleotide ribosomal RNA is filed under the name uncultured bacterium. RNAcentral describes it as "partial 16S ribosomal RNA". It matches the Rfam family "Bacterial small subunit ribosomal RNA", at positions 509 to 808 of the family's 1533-position model. The record is from RNAcentral.